Molecule: ribosomal RNA, 732 nt
Filed under: uncultured bacterium
Lineage: Bacteria
Description: bacterial SSU rRNA
Rfam family: Bacterial small subunit ribosomal RNA
Source: RNAcentral
GGCUUCUUAAGUCGGAUGUGAAAUCCCUGAGCUUAACUUAGGAAUUGCAUUCGAUACUGGGAAGCUAGAGUAUGGGAGAGGAUGGUAGAAUUCCAGGUGUAGCGGUGAAAUGCGUAGAGAUCUGGAGGAAUACCGAUGGCGAAGGCAGCCAUCUGGCCUAAUACUGACGCUGAGGUACGAAAGCAUUGGGAGCAAACAGGAUUAUAUACCCUGGUAGUCCAUGCCGUAAACGAUGUCUACUAGCCGUUGGGGACUUUGAGGCUUUAGUGGCGCAGCUAACGCGAUAAGUAGACCGCUUGGGGAGUACGGUCGCAAGACUAAAACUCAAAUGAAUUGACGGGGGCCCGCACAAGCGGUGGAGCAUGUGGUNUAAUUCGAUGCAACGCGAAGAACCUUACCUGGUCUUGACAUAGUAAGAACUUUCCAGAGAUGGAUUGGUGCCUUCGGGAACUUACAUACAGGUGCUGCAUGGCUGUCGUCAGCUCGUGUCGUGAGAUGUUGGGUUAAGUCCCGCAACGAGCGCAACCCUUUUCCUUAUUUGCCAGCGGGUUAAGCCGGGAACUUUAAGGAUACUGCCAGUGACAAACUGGAGGAAGGCGGGGACGACGUCAAGUCAUCAUGGCCCUUACGACCAGGGCUACACACGUGCUACAAUGGUCGGUACAAAGGGUUGCUACCUAGCGAUAGGAUGCUAAUCUCAAAAAGCCGAUCGUAGUCCGGAUUGGAGUCUGC